RNAcentral lists this ribosomal RNA (253 nucleotides) under uncultured bacterium. RNAcentral describes it as "partial 16S ribosomal RNA". It matches the Rfam family "Bacterial small subunit ribosomal RNA", at positions 524 to 776 of the family's 1533-position model. The record is from RNAcentral.
UACGUAGGUGGCAAGCGUUGUCCGGAUUUACUGGGCGUAAAGAGCUCGUAGGCGGUUUGUCGCGUCUGCCGUGAAAGUCCGGGGCUCAACUCCGGAUCUGCGGUGGGUACGGGCAGACUAGAGUGAUGUAGGGGAGACUGGAAUUCCUGGUGUAGCGGUGAAAUGCGCAGAUAUCAGGAGGAACACCAAUAGCGAAGGCAGCUCGCUGGGACGGUACUGACGCUAAGGCGCGAAAGCGUGGGGAGCGAACAGG